UACGUAGGAGACGAGCGUUGUCCGGAUUUAUUGGGCGUAAAGCGCGUGUAGGCGGCUUUGCAAGUCGGGUGUGAAAUCCCUCAGCUCAACUGAGGAAGUGCGCCCGAAACUGCAGAGCUUGAGUACCGGAGAGGAUGGCGGAAUUCCCCAAGUAGAGGUGAAAUUCGUAGAUAUGGGGAGGAACACCGGUGGCGAAGGCGGCCAUCUGGACGGAUACUGACGCUGAGACGCGAAAGCGUGGGGAGCAAACAGG
Molecule: ribosomal RNA, 253 nt
Filed under: uncultured bacterium
Lineage: Bacteria
Description: partial 16S ribosomal RNA
Rfam family: Bacterial small subunit ribosomal RNA
Source: RNAcentral